UACGUAGGGGCUAGCGUUGUCCGGAUUUAUUGGGCGUAAAGAGCGUGUAGGCGGCCAGGUAGGUCUGCUGUGAAAACUCGAGGCUCAACCUCGAGACGUCGGCGGAAACCAUCUGGCUAGAGUCCGGAAGAGGAGAGUGGAAUUCCUGGGUGUAGCGGUGAAAUGCGCAGAUAUCAGGAAGAACACCCGUGGCGAAGGCGGCUCUCUGGGACGGUACUGACGCUGAGACGCGAAAGCGUGGGGAGCGAACAGG
This 253-nucleotide ribosomal RNA is filed under the name uncultured bacterium. RNAcentral's name for it is "partial 16S ribosomal RNA". It matches the Rfam family "Bacterial small subunit ribosomal RNA", at positions 524 to 776 of the family's 1533-position model. The record is from RNAcentral.